RNAcentral lists this long non-coding RNA (4234 nucleotides) under Homo sapiens (human). RNAcentral's name for it is "uncharacterized LOC105371240, transcript variant 1 (LOC105371240)". The record is from RNAcentral. Lineage: Eukaryota; Metazoa; Chordata; Mammalia; Primates; Hominidae.
CUUUCCACCCGAGCGCGAGGUAGACGCCGGGGCCACCCGCAGCACGCAGAGCUUCUGGGAGCCGGUGGCAAGGCCGAAUUGGGAUGCAAACCAAAUGGACGUGGGUGACUGGCAGAAAACGCCUCCCACAAAUGGGAGGGAUUUCGGAGGGAACCGAAAGAAAGUUGGAAACCAAGUUACAGCUGAAGCCAGGGCCUUCUCCUACCCGACUCCCGCGGCCCAUUAAAACCUACGUGAGCUUAUCUGAUACCUUCAAGCCCUGUUUUGUGGCCCCAUCUCCUCUUCAGAUGGCAAUGUGCCUAGCUACACUACAUUUCCUGCCUCCCUUGCAGCUAGAGGUGGCCAAUGAGAUAUAAACAGAUGCUGUAAGACAUGAUGUCUAGAUCCCUAGCAGUCAUCCCAGACCAUGAGAUAACUUUGAGAAGGAACACCAUGUACAAAGGACUGUGCAGAAGAGGGUUGGCAGGAGCCUGGAUCUCUGAUGACUUCACCCUUGACUGCCCACCUCACCAGGCUGUACAAGCCACUGUUACUGGCAGAUGAAUGCAAGUUCUAAAACAUACAACUACUGACCUACUGAAUUUUCCAAGGAGCACAUUUCCACUGGAGACAUUUGGUGCCUGCAGAAAAUACUUACUGAGGAAUUUCUAUGGGACCAGCCUGAAGUAGAAGCCACUGAAGAGAGGCCCUGAAGCAGCUUUUCUUCCUUAUCCCAGAGACCAACAUGGUUACCCCAGCCCAGAGUCACCCUCCUUCCUCUAAGCUGUCAAAACCCUGGCUGCCUUUACAAUGAUUCUGACAAUGAAUCCCACCCUGCUGGUGAUGUCUAUUGCUUUACUGUUAAACUUUUUAAGGGUUAAAAUUCCUUUUUAUUUUUCUUUUUAAAUUGAUUAAUAAUAGUUGUACCAAUUUGGAUGGUACCUGUAAUAUUUUGAUACCUACAUACAAUGUGUGAUGAACAAAUCAGAGUAAUUGGGCUAGCCAUCACCUCACACAUUUAUCUAGGGCUGAAAUCCCUGAAGGACAGGAUUGUGUCUUACAAAUUGUGUAUUCUAAUCUGCAUUUACAUUUCAGAAAUUCUGGACUAAGUAGGCAAACCAACAGAAACUCUUGCUAUGAAGAUCUGGAGGUUUCCUGGAGGAAGUGGUGAAUAGGGCCUUGGGACUGAUGUUAAAAGCCCUGGAACACAAUAGGGAGACUCCUGAACUAGGAAGAAGUCAAAAGCUCUGGUAGCAGCCCCCACAAAUUAAGAAACCUACUCAGAGUAAAAGAAACAGGCCAUGGUGGGUGGCCGGGGAGCAAGGAAUAUUUGUGAGUAACCCCAGAUGGUGGCAAUCAUUUAAUGCCCUCCAUCCCUCUCAGUGUAUAUUAGGUUAUGUUUUUUUUUUAGAAAAUGGAGGAAGGGUUUUACUAUGUUGCCUAGGCCAGUCUCAAACUCCUAGGCUCAAGCGAUUCACCUGCAUUGGCCUCCUAAAUUGCUGGGAUUACAGGCAUGAGCCACUGUGCCUGGCCCAAGAAGUCUGAGCCAGACGUUGCUGCAUAGGUCAGAACUCUGUGGGCUAUGAAUGUAAGAUAUUCACGAGUCACAUCUAUUCCAUUCAUUGGCAAACACUUACCUGAAACCAUACAGCAAAAGAGAUUCUGGAAAAUGUACCUUCCAGCCUUAGAAGAAAGUGAUGGUGGUGCCCAGUUGACCCCAGGCAAGCCGGCCCAGGAAUGCAGACAUUUUGGACUGCUCAUCUUUUACUACUUUGUGUAGCCUUUCACAGAAGAAUUACACAAGAACUUGACUCUUGAUUCCAAGGAUUCUGGAAGAAUGCCAACCAAACUGAAGUCUACAAGCCUAACCAUGUUAUGAAAAGGCUGGAUGUGACAUGGUGAAUCCUCCUUAGAUGUGUUAACUAGGGUUAGGGUACCAGUGACAUGCAAGGGGUUGGCCAUUUGAUUAAGUAGAGGAGGCAUGAGUGAAAGCAGCACACCUCCACCCUGCUCAAUGGCCAUCAUCACCUAGCCAGGCUGUGAGCCUCCAUGGAGUGGGUAGCUGAGAACCCACAACCCACAAUAUAUCUUCUUUCUGGCCCUGUUAACAUGGACCUGUCUCUAUGAGGUGAUGGUUGAUAUCCAGCUAAGUAUGGCCCUCUUAAUAGUAAUGUGGGUGGCUUUAUUCAUAUUGGCUUCAUGAUAAAUGGUAUCACUGAGCUGACUUCUCUAUGUUUUAGAUAAAACAAAAAUAAAAGACAAAAAAAAAAAAAAGAAAAAAAGCAAAAUGACACAGGCAGUCUUGCUGCCAGACACAUCUGCAAUCAGAAAGCUUGGAAAAUUAGACUUGGAAAUGGCUUGAAAAAACCUUUAAACUUUUUCUGAAGAGCAAGUACAGGUUUGUCUCUGGGGUCAGUUCUAAUUCUUUGACCAGCUAAUUUUAAGUGGCUGUAUCUCGAAAAAAGUGACAGUGACAUUUUGGUACUCCAGCUGAACUUUUAGAUUAGUCACUGAUACAACUGCAACUUUUGGCCUAUUUGAAGGAUUUUAAGGGCAGGAUAAAUAACAAAACCCAACAGUCUUAGCCUGAGUUUCCCAGAAAUCAGAGCCUGAGACAAAGGCUUGCCUUUUAAGAUUAUCUGAGAAUGUGAUCUUAGGUAGCAAGAGUACAGGGUAGGGGAGUGAUCAGGGAAGGAGGGAAAGCUAAUGCAACAUGGAUUAUUACGUUGUCUACUACUAUGGACAAUUGUUCAUGUGGACUAUGCUGUGGACUACCAUAUGGACUACCACUAUCACUAUGGAUACAAGUCCUGCUUGGAAUUUUUGGGGAGAUUUAUGGAAAGUACUAGAGAACUGUUUGUCCAAAGGACCAAAGAUGGAAACAUUUAUCCAUUGGCUCCAGGUCCCCAUUGGUCAAGGAUGACUUGGUUGCAUUUCUAAGUAAUGUAUGCUGAGCACAGAGCAGAUUCAAGUGGUUGCCCUGAGCUGCAGAUACCUCUGGGCAGGAAAUGAGAGAUACUCAGUGCAGACCUAGAGUGAGACCCGUGAUCUGAUUGCACCAGCAUAGAGAUGGUCAAAACCUAGGUGGAAGCAGUUUCUUCAGUUGUAACUGGAGAUAGAGGUGGGAUUGAGAGGAUUUUAAAAAGGGGCCCAGGAGUUAUCUAAAGCACCAAACAGUAAGUAUACAUUAACUAUGUUCUGGGUGUUGGGCACAAGCAUGGGAGGUAGAGCAGUGACAUGAUAAAGCCUUUACUCUUCCCCAAAUAUCUAUACUUUCUCUAAUAUAAAAAAUCUUAAGUAUAUGAAAAAUAUCACAUUUAUUAUAAAAUGUAAACUGCAAUGACAUCUGAGAGAGUUAUAUGUUGAAAUUUAAAUUCACAUUGAGAUAUAAAUGUUAGAUACAGGUAUUUUACCCCAAGUAAGGCUUUACUAGGGGAAGGAGGAAGUGCACAAGAAUUCUGGGAGUCUGAUGUAGUUGUGAAUCAAAAUUUCCAAUCCUUAUAUAUAUUUUUAUUAUCAGCCUUGCUUUGCCUAGUGCCUAUAAUCGUGUGAGAACUUGCCCUGUAGCCCCCCAUGAGUGGCCCUUUUCCCUAGUCAUCCUUCUUUGGCUUUAGCCAUGAGGAGCCUGAUGUGAGGAGAGAACUCAGCAAAUAUUUAAGUAAAUAUUUAUGGAAUGACAUGAAUGAAUACAAAGUUAUAAAUAGAACAUUAUCUUAUUCUACUCCUGGACUAGAUGUACGACCAAACAAACUAGAAUAGAUUUUGCAUAGAUUAAAUUUCACCUUUCUGACCUCCCCAAGCAAGUGCUUCUCUGUUUUUUUCCAGACCACCAUGUAUAUUCAGUAGCUGUAGCCCUUAUUUUCUGUUUUAGUUAUUCAAAGCUUGCUGGAAUAUGAGCUCCUGAAGGGCAGGGGCCAUUUCUUAUUAAUCUUUCUGUUGUCAGUACUGAGCAAAGUCUACGGUGCCUAGAAAUGUUUAAUUAAUGAGAAUCUGAAUCAAGACUAUAACCAUACAACCUCAAUAAUGCAAUUAAAAUGAAGAAUCUGUGGAAUAAAAUGACUGAAAAGCAUACCUUGGGAAUACAUAUCCCAGCUGAGAGACUAUAGGCAAGUCACUGAAUUUCUGUGUCUCAGUUUCUCCAAGUGAAAAAUGAGAGACCAAUCAGGGUUAGAGGAUAUGUGAUGUGCAUACUGUCACUCUGUUUUCUGUGUCUUGGUUGACAUUUCUAAUAAAUCAUGACUUUUCUUCACACUGA